GCCCCGUAAGCCCACCAAGUAGCCCCUCUCUUCUAACAUUGGCACGGAGGUCGUGUACGCUCGCCGGCUGCCGUGGCGAAGCCCUCAUCUGCUCCCUCCUCCCGACCCUGGAAGAGCAUUUGGGAUGAGUUAGGUUUAGGGAUUUGAUUUUUGAUCCGUCUCAGGUUGCACUUUCGGAUUGGUGGUUGACUGAAGCGGAAAGAGGAUUCGAGGGGAGGAGAAUAGCCGUCGACGGGUUUACGACGAGAUGUGCACCAACUGUGAAACGAGAUGUUGCUCAUACUCUUACGACUGCAGAUGGGGUUACUGUUAUAGUUCGGGGCAUAAUUAACAUGACACGUUUACAAGAUAAUGGUUUUCCUCUGGAGGUGGGUGGAUUUGUUUUACUUCGCUUUCUUGUAUUCAAUAAAAUUGUUGAUAUCUUGCUAUUCAGUAAUGUCAUGUCCUAACAGUGAUUUCUUCUGCUUCCAAUUAGUGUUAUGUUUUUUGUAUUUACAUCUUGAAUUACUUUGAACUUAGUCAACCAACAAAAUUUGCCUGGAAAUACAUAAAAGCUGGGAGACAAUUAGACCCUGUAUAACCUUGUUUCUGUCAACUGUUUUAGGUGCAGCUAAAGGGUAUUUUGCCAUAAAAGCAACUCUUCAACAUUGUUUCCUACGUAUUUUGCCUAUCGUAUUAUAGGUCUGCAGUCACUUCUUGAUUGGAUAUCCAUGCAAUUGGAGUUAGUUUGUUCAUGCUAAUUUUUGCCUGAAAUUUAUGAUGAGGUUACUGACUGUGAGUUGAAUAUUCAGGUACAAACUUUUUCGUUUCAUUUAGCACCAUACAUAUCUCAUUCAAACAUUGUCUUGAUAUUUGUGUAGUAUCUCCAUCAUGAAUGAAAACAACUUACUAAAUUGGUUACUUGAAUCAGUGUUUUCAAUUGAAUGAUCAGAACAUGUUUUGAUAUCCUAAUUUGCUAUAUCGUGUGUGUAUUCUUACAUGCUGCAUGGGAGAGUAUGCAGUUUAGUAAAUGGCUCAUGACUAACAUUCUGUUUUCCUUUUUUUUCUCCCUUGAUUCCAGACCCAGUUUUGGAUGUCCCACUAGCAGAUGGAUGUGUCAGUACCAUAUCACUAAAUGGGUCUAGCUGUUCUGCAUAUGUCUAGGACCAUCAGUAAUGAUGCAUGAAAAUUGGAUCUUAAAAUGAUCUUUUGUCUUGCUUUUGAGUAAUCUAAUGUUGAUGACUUCAAAAAAAUAUUAGAUGGGAUAUAUGAGAUGGGUUUGAACACUACUCAACAUAGUCUACUGUUAACAUUAUAAGAUAUUGACCUGUUCUUGUAUUAAAACAUUUCUUAUUCGAUCAUCAUUUUUGAGAAGUUGGAUGCUGACUCCUCCAUGGAGACAGGAAAUCUAACUUGCAGCAAGUAAUGCUGAGAAGCUUUACCAAAUGCUGCAUGAUGAGACUAGCUUUUACAUUUUCCUGAACUAAGCAGAUUGUCAAAGUCAUCUUAACAGCACAUAAAGAGAACAGAAGCAAGUAUGUCGUACCUUCUACUUAAGAAAGUAGAACCAAUAGUUUAGUCUUUGUUGUUUCAGACUAUCUAAUAUGUUAAUUGAUAAGAAGUACUUUGCUGGAUGACAAGGAGCCUGAACUUGAUCAGCCUGUCACAUGCCAUGCUUCAGUUAUAAAUUUAAUCUUGCUUCGGCUGAAUAGAUAGCACUGUUAUCUUAUCCCCCACUCAGCUGUAACUGAUUCUGGAGACUAACUGCCGAAGAACCACAAUCCAUCUUGUCAGUUUCCAUCAGCUGUCACAAUAAUUCUUGGUUUAGAUUGUUGCCUGAACCAUUCUUCAGUAUUUAGAAACUUUUGUUCCUAUGGGGGCAUAACUAUGAGAAUCCCGGUCACUUGUCUAAUUCGAUAAUUUUGAGCAGCUUCUUGCAUGUUGUAGUACCUUGUUGAAAACUUUCCUGCAUAUGCUGAUAUACUUAGUGAUCAAUUUUAGGCUUUAAUAUGUUGAUGAUCAUAUCUGGCACAUUCCAGCUAUCUUACAUGGGUGGAACUGAACUUUCAUUGAUAACAAUAAACUGCUUUGGUUAUACUGAAUCAGCAGUACCUGGAUCUUUUCUUGUAUUCUUUGCUGAGAUGGAUACUUUACCGGGUUAUAGUAUCUAAAUAUACCCUAAUGACUGCAAGAUGUCAUCUUUUAUGCUGCUAUGGAGCAAAUCAGAGCCCACAAGGAGGAGAAAAAUUCUGUGAAUACUUCAUAUUUGGAUCACAAGUGAGCUUUAUGUCCUGACGACCAUUUCUAGUAUUGAAGGAUCCAUCAGGAGCUGGUUUUUCCUGCAACACUUGACGUUGUAAGAUCACCUGUCCAAUGCCAGGAGCGGAACUCGAUAUCUAAGGGCUGGUUUUUCACCUUAGAUUUGGCUCUUUUAAUGUUUGAAAAUCACGCAAUCUUUCUUCGUAUCCAAUAUAAACACAUGUGUAAACUGUAAACAUAUAACAGCUUUCUUUUCUACACUUCCUAGUGCCUUGUUAUGUUUCA
Long non-coding RNA from Musa acuminata AAA Group (dessert banana), 2523 nucleotides. RefSeq lists it as uncharacterized. The record is from RefSeq and is a predicted model, not a curated record. The transcript is spliced from 2 exons. Lineage: Eukaryota; Viridiplantae; Streptophyta; Magnoliopsida; Zingiberales; Musaceae.